AACGAACGCUGGCGGCAGGCCUAACACAUGCAAGUCGAGCGGAUGUAGCAAUACAUCAGCGGCGCACGGGUGAGUAACGCGUGGGAACCUGCCCUUUGGUACGGAACAACCCUGGGAACUAGGGCGUAAUACCGAAUACGCCUCGCGAGAGGGAAAGGAUUUAUCGCCGAAGGAGGGCCGCGUCCGAUUAGCUAGUCGGUGGGUAA
Molecule: ribosomal RNA, 206 nt
Filed under: uncultured bacterium
Lineage: Bacteria
Description: partial 16S ribosomal RNA
Rfam family: Bacterial small subunit ribosomal RNA
Source: RNAcentral